GCGGCGGCAGCGGCGGGCGCGAGCGGCAGCUGUCAGGCCACCGAGGUCCAAGCCGCACUUGCUGCCCCAUUGAGGACGAGGAGGCAGCAGGAGCAGUGACGGUGACUCUAAGGAGCCGGAUUCCCGGCACGCAGAGCUGACCUGCCUGGCACCCGCGGCCCUCUCCUGUUUCCUUCCCAUUGUGUUGGAUAAGCCAGCUGCAGAAUAUAUCCUGAGGUACCUGCUUUAUGGAAUUAUUCACACUAUUCACCAACAGGAAGAAUAAAGUCAAUCAAUUCAAGGAGUCUCAGAACAGGAGCACAUAGACACCAAACUUUGUGGGACAACAAAUAUAAUGAAGAGUAUGUUUGCGUCUUUCAAACAAAGAAAUGUUAUGAGAAUGACUUGGAUGAGCUGAAAAAUGAAUGAUCUCCUUGAACAAGGCUUGCCUGGAAUUUCGCUUUGCUGCAGAGACAUCUGGAAAUGUGGAUUGAGGGUGGAAAUAAAAUGAAGAUGUCCUGGAAACUUCCAACUGAUCCUUGGGUCUAAUUGGUGUGGGAUAUGCAGCACAAGCGUGAGAAGCCAUGAAGUGAGAGCCCCAACAGGGGCUCAGAGUCAAAAACCUAGAUAUUAGCUCCCAAAGUCCUUCCGAAUCUGCUCCAGCUCCCCACAUCACUCCUAGCUGCCCUUGGCCCUCUCCACCUUUCCCCUCCCGAUUCCUUGGAAAAUAAGCGUUCCUCCCCCACCCCCACCCCCAGCUCUACGAACACAAUAGAGAAGAAAAAAUUGUCUUUUAAGAUAAUUUCCUCCAAAUCCUUCUCAGUUUCAACUGCAUGAAGACAAAAUGCAGGCUGUCAAUUCGAUGAACAGAUUGUGAUUAGGCUGGGGGAGGCUAGAAUUGUAAUAAUUUUAUAGCUACAAUAAUAAAGACCCAGAAGUGGGCAAGACCUAUGCAAGUUCACAGACUAGGUUAAAGAAAAGGCCAGCGUUGAAGAUGUGGGUGAUUUCCAAGAAGGAUAAUCGACUUCGAGACAAGUCAAGAACACGAUCUGGGAAUCAGGUAGUCAGUAUUCUAUCCUGAGAGUGUAAUAUCUUCAUCAGAGAGCUUAAGCCAGGCAGACAAGAGGCAGGGAGUGGGUUAGAGUGAAGCAGCAGGUGGCAGUGAGGGUGGAGAGAAGAAACGAAAUAUAGUCCUUGCCACAGAGAAAGAAGCGGUAAGACAAAAAUGGCUAAGCAGCAAAAACAGGGAAAUACUAUAUAAAACCUGCCUUAGCAAUAAGCUAUUUCUAAAGACUGUGAAGGUAUUUAAAUGCCCACUGCUAGAUGGGAUCAGCCUGGGAAGGUUUUCUAGAACAGGUGAAUCUUAAACAGUGUCUGUCUGGGCUCCUUGUCAGUCCUGUCUCCCUUCACAGCUCCCUUGACCUAGAGGCCGGUGUCCUCCCAUGGAUGGCCUUUAAAACAACUGGCUGGCAUAUAAUAAGAGGGGCACCUGUUGGAAGACUCCGGAGAAGGAAGGUAUGGUCUCCUGGAACUUUUCCUGUGAUUUUGCCUUGGGAGAGGAGAGAAGAGGAGGGAGAUACUGAGCAGAGACUAGUACCUUCCUGGGGUGGGAGAAAGGCAAGAUUGUGUCUUACAGUUUUCUCUUUGGGCUGUGACUUUGGACAUGUUACUGGCUUGGGCUCUGCUGUUAGGAAAUGGACGAGUCUUUGGCAGAUGCCCCUGUGGGCCCACUGGGGCCAAAUCCUGCACCGUUUGAGGCUUGCUUAGAGUACUAGAACUCUAGAUCCUUUGCUCUUGUAUCAGCCCCAAGAAAAAAGGAUCUCUGGAAAUGCUGCCCCUUGCAAAACGGUAUAAUAGUAGCUUUCCAGAGCAGACGAGACUAAGGCCAUGUGACUGAUGGAAAAGGGUCCUAGAGCCCCUCGCCCUCCCCAGCCCUGCUCGCCAGCCACAGACUAUGCCUGCUUUGGAAGCUCAACUGUAGGAUUGAGCCAGCAAUAAACUUCUGGAUGGUCACUGUCGGAAUGGCCCUGGAGAAGGGGGAGGACCAAGAGCAAGAAAUCGCCAAAUGUGUCUCCUCAGCUCAUCAGAUGGCAGGAGUGAGCCCAAACUUUGGGAGUUCAGAUUUAGAGGAUGAGGCAAAUGAUCCUUCACAGCUCGAAUAGAUGAGACAGCUCUCCACACAGGGGACAUCACUCAGACUGAGCCCUCUCACAAAGCUUCCCCUGAGUUCUCAGCAGCAGCUCUGGGGACAGCAACUCUACUGGAAAGAAAAUAUGUGUUCCCAAUAAACCCACAGAUACCAAUUUAUCAACCACAUUCCCUUAACACACAUUUCUCUUCUCCUUUCUUCCAUCUCCAUUGCCUUAAUAUUCAUUCUAUCCUCUCCCCAAGUCUCAAUCUCUUUGUCUCUGUUACCUGUCUCUGUCUCUGUUUCUCUCUAUGUGUCUGUCUCUGUUUCCUUUUUCUCUCUCCACAUUCCCUGUCUUCGCCUUGUUCUUAUGCUUGUUCUUAUGCCCAGGGCCAGAAAAGGGACCCAGCCAGGUGACCGUGUCUCACUCAUCCCAGUGCCUUAAGGUUCCCAACUCCCUAGAAUCUAGUGUGUUCUCAUUGCUCUGUACAUCCCGACACUCUGCCUCAGUACCUCGUCAGCAGACCUUUCCUGAGGGCUCCCUACAGACCUCAUAGGGUAUCUUCCCAGGUCCUCCAGAGCCCAUUUUUAUCUACAUACCCCCACCUAUUUCUGUGAUUCUGCUUCCAUUGGUUCUGCUGGGUGCCCUUGGCAAAAUAUUCUUGAGUCCAGCUAGGCUCCUGCACUGCCAAGGGAUUCCUCAAGAGGCACUGCCAGCCUUCUUGGUGCAGCCUGCUGCCUGUACUGGGUGCCUGUGGGAACAAUGCAGGAUUGUAUAAAACUCGUAAACAGUUUGCUUCAUGCAAUUCUGAUGGUACCUCAGA
Molecule: long non-coding RNA, 2931 nt
Organism: Homo sapiens (human)
Lineage: Eukaryota; Metazoa; Chordata; Mammalia; Primates; Hominidae
Source: Ensembl